AGUGAACGCUGGCGGUAGGCCCAACACAUGCAAGUCGAACGGCAGCACAGUAAGAGCUUGCUCUUACGGGUGGCGAGUGGCGGACGGGUGAGGAAUACAUCGGAAUCUACUUUUUCGUGGGGGAUAACGUAGGGAAACUUACGCUAAUACCGCAUACGACCUACGGGUGAAAGCAGGGGAUCUUCGGACCUUGCGCGAUUGAAUGAGCCGAUGUCGGAUUAGCUAGUUGGCGGGGUAAAGGACCACCAAGGCGACGAUCCGUAGCUGGUCUGAGAGGAUGAUCAGCCACACUGGAACUGAGACACGGUCCAGACUCCUACGGGAGGCAGCAGUGGGGAAUAUUGGACAAUGGGCGCAAGCCUGAUCCAGCCAUACCGCGUGGGUGAAGAAGGCCUUCGGGUUGUAAAGCCCUUUUGUUGGGAAAGAAAAGCAGCAGGUUAAUACCCCGCUGUUCUGACGGUACCCAAAGAAUAAGCACCGGCUAACUUCGUG
RNAcentral lists this ribosomal RNA (492 nucleotides) under uncultured bacterium. Its description in RNAcentral is "partial 16S ribosomal RNA". It matches the Rfam family "Bacterial small subunit ribosomal RNA", at positions 29 to 507 of the family's 1533-position model. The record is from RNAcentral.